Molecule: ribosomal RNA, 497 nt
Filed under: uncultured bacterium
Lineage: Bacteria
Description: partial 16S ribosomal RNA
Rfam family: Bacterial small subunit ribosomal RNA
Source: RNAcentral
GAUGAACGCUGGCGGCGUGCCUAAUACAUGCAAGUCGAGCGAACGGACGAGAAGCUUGCUUUUCUGAUGUUAGCGGCGGACGGGUGAGUAACACGUGUAUAACCUACCUAUAAGACUGGGAUAACUUCGGGAAACCGGAGCUAAUACCGGAUAAUAUUUUGAACCGCAUGGUUCAAAAGUGAAAGACGGUCUUGCUGUCACUUCUAGAUGGAUCCGCGCUGCAUUAGCUAGUUGGUAAGGUAACGGCUUACCAAGGCAACGAUGCAUAGCCGACCUGAGAGGGUGAUCGGCGACAAUGGAACUGAGACACGGUCCAGACUCCUAAGGGAGGCAGCAGUAGGGAAUCUUCCGCAAUGGGCGAAAGCCUGACGGAGCAACGCCGCGUGAGUGAUGAAGGUCUUCGGAUCGUAAAACUCUGUUAUUAGGGAAGAACAUAUGUGGAAGUAACUGUGCACAUCUUGACGGUACCUAAUCAGAAAGCCACGGCUAACUACGUG